This 253-nucleotide ribosomal RNA is filed under the name uncultured bacterium. RNAcentral's name for it is "partial 16S ribosomal RNA". It matches the Rfam family "Bacterial small subunit ribosomal RNA", at positions 524 to 776 of the family's 1533-position model. The record is from RNAcentral.
UACGUAGGGUGCAAGCGUUGUCCGGAAUGACUGGGCGUAAAGGGCGCGUAGGCGGCUUGCACCGUCAGAUGUGAAAUUCCUGGGCUUAACCUGGGGGCUGCAUUUGAUACGUGUGGGCUUGAGUGCGGAAGAGGGUCGUGGAAUUCCCAGUGUAGAGGUGAAAUUCGUAGAUAUUGGGAAGAACACCGGUGGCGAAGGCGGCGACCUGGUCCGUGACUGACGCUGAGGCGCGAAAGCGUGGGGAGCAAACAGG